GCUGUGUCCCCACCCAACAUCUCAGCCUGAAUUGUAAUCACCACAUAUUGGGACGGAGUUUUGCUCUGUAGCCAGGCUGGAGUGCAGUGGCACGAUCUCAGCUCACUGCAAUGCAACCUCCAACUCCCUGGUUCAAGAGAUUCUCCUGCUGUGUCCAGAGUUGGUGGGUUCUUGGUCUCACUUACUUCAAGAGUGAAGCCACAGACCCUCAUGGUAACUUUCUGUAAAAAAUUACAGCAGUGCAGAAGGUCUACUGGAUUAUGGCCUCCAGUUCCAUCCAUGUUGCUGCAGAAGCUAUAAUUUUAUUCUUUUGAAUGCUUUAAGCGUUCCAAAUCAUUGAAUUACUGAGAAGAUUAAAUGAGGGUAAAACAAUCCUUGAUACAUACCAACCAUCCAAUAAGAUUUGGCUGCAAUCACUACUUGUCAUCAUCAGUGACUGUAACAGAAGCAUGAAGACCAUAGCAAAGAGUCUGGAUACAGUGAAACAAGAAAUCGAGAGCCUUGUUAUUUCCUGCCUAAGUUCUUUCUGGCUGUAAGUCUCUGAUGUUGGCAAGUGACAGACCCCUAUGGCCAAUGAAUCACAACUUAAAUGAGUACCAAGUUCCCAGCUGAUAUGUGAAAAGGAGCUCAGUGAGAGGUACUUAUGUCCUUUGUGUACUUAAAAUAUUGCCCUUAAUGAAUAAGUCCGUGUGUUCAUUUUUAUUACAAAAGUAGCAGACCUAUCUUACUUUCAAUAUUACAAGGACAAUGCUUGCAAAGAUGAACAAAGGACGUUUAAAGAUACAGGGUCUGAAAGCUUCCGAAAGCCACAUAGUGAGAGAUAUUAAAACAAGUUGAGAGAAUUUGAUGUCAAAGGCAAGAUCAUAUCUGAAGCAUUUCUCAACACUGUAUAAAAUGCAAAAACAAAGAGAAACAAAACUCCUUGGAGAAGUUUCUGCUCAAUACGCAAGCCACCGACCCUUAGCGAAUGUUCCCAAUAGCAAUCAAUGAGCCCCUAACAAGAGCUGGAAGGACUGGGGCAGUAGGAACAACACAGACCAUUUGCUCUGAUUCAACGAUUUUUAUGAGCACCAUUAAGUGAAAAUGGGCAAGUAACUCUGUGGCUCAGGGCAAAGCCCCCACAGCGAUGUGAUGAAAAAUCUUGGCAAGAACCCAUGAAAGAGAACCCUUCAAAUCAAAUCAAACAAAUGCGGAUCUACUAGGAGGAAGGGCCUUGUUUUUCAUUUAAAAUAAUCUUUUAAAGAGUAGACAAUAAUCCAAACACCUCUGGGUUACUAUAUCUUCUAGGAGAAUACUGAUUUUGAUAAAAAUAUUUAAAUCAAAAAUUUUAGGUAAUUUUACCUUCAAAUAGCUUAGGCACCUUAGACCAAAGUUUGCACAUUCUACAAAUAUUGACACAAUAACACCAUUUUAAAUCUUUACCCACCAUUUGUUGGGUUAUGUCAAAUGUAACUCAGGAUAAAAAGUUGUUCAGAUAAGUGAUUGGUACAAUUGGAAUUUAUAGAUUAAAAAUUUGUUACAAGGAAUUAAAAGUUUUUCUUACCUAACCUCUCAAUAAUUUUCCAAAGAAAAUGUGUGAUGUGUCCCUUGCUCUGCCCUUCACUCUAGUGUUUUAUUUUGCAUCAUGGAUGCAUUUCUUUUAAUUUUCUUCAUAUAACUCUUCACAUGUACUCUUGAGAUUGCAUAUUGCUUCAACAAUCCUUGCCCAGCCACUAACUUCUUUCUUAAAAUAAUUUUCCUGCCCCCCUUCCUUCAACAGUAAUCAAUGUCUACCACCGCCUCUAUUAAUUCUGCCACUGAUUUUGUGAUAACUCUUCACAAAUACUGAAUGAUGUAACUUGAAGGCAGUUUUUGUUGUCUGAAUCUGCUUGAUGCCAGCUUAUGGUUGGCUAUAAUGCUCAGAAAUAGAAGCAAUGAUUAGACAAUACAAAGAGAUACUAGUUUAAUGUAAGGAAGAAUAUUUUCAUCCUUAUCACUUACUGUAUUUACUUUAUAUUCCACAUUACAAGGAGCCACUUCAACAUGAACACCAAGCCAUCUUAAGUUUAUUAAGAUCCUAAUAAUGUUUAAGCAUUGGUUAUGUGAAUAUAGAAUGAUGAUCCCACUUUGGAUUUUACAUUCAAGUAUAAGAAAUAUCUAUUAAUCAACUUCUUUCAGGAGUGUUACAGAUGGUAGAGUCUGUUUCAACUUUGGGUGCAGGGCUUAACACAUUCUUUAACACAAUAAAUCAACAUUACUGAGAAACAAAGUAAUUAUAAGAACUCUUCUAAUUCUAGGAAUCAAUGAUUUUAUAUCAAUCAUAUGGAAAGAGGUAAAAGUGCAUGCUUCAUGUUAUGUUACUUUCUUUUGCUUGAGAAUGCUAAAUUUGUAAAACUAUAUAAUAUGACAUACUUGUGACUGAAUUGUAAGAGAUUUUAUCUAAUAUUGCUUUAGAAUACAGAAGUAAUUGUUUCAAAGGAUAAAGGAUGGAAGAUUCUGAUAAAGCUUGCUUACUUUUUGGGGGAAGGCGUGGGGGGAAAUGUCUCAGUGCCCAAGGUCAGUGGCCUUCCUGACUGAAGACUUUCCCAGAGUAGAGGAUAAGAGUGGGAACAGGAAGAGCAGUUUAAAGUCAUCUUCACAACAUUCUGGUGAGUGACUGAUUGCUUCAGCAGCAAACAGGCACAUGGUAAAAAUAUUGGUAAUGUGAAUUUAGUGUUGUUACUGUCAUUUUUUUCUUUAUUAACUAUGAUUUUGCUUACAGAUAGCAGUCAGAGUAGUAGUAUAUUGAUAAUAAUGAACCUCUUAGGGUUGCUGGUUUGGUGUUUCAAAGUUUUUCAGUUAUCCAUAUUAAACUUUUAAAGAUA
RNAcentral lists this long non-coding RNA (2843 nucleotides) under Homo sapiens (human). RNAcentral's name for it is "HSALNT0386499". Lineage: Eukaryota; Metazoa; Chordata; Mammalia; Primates; Hominidae. The record is from RNAcentral.